Long non-coding RNA from Salvia miltiorrhiza (redroot sage), 542 nucleotides. RefSeq lists it as uncharacterized. The transcript is spliced from 2 exons. The record is from RefSeq and is a predicted model, not a curated record. Lineage: Eukaryota; Viridiplantae; Streptophyta; Magnoliopsida; Lamiales; Lamiaceae.
CUUCCACUGCACCUUUCCUUCCACUUAUUCCAUCAACCACCGACUCCCUCACAAUUUUAUAUCACCUUCCCUUUACACCACUAUACCAACUAAAACAUUUUAUAUCAGCUAAGGGAAGCUUUAACUCUGUUUCAAACAAAUCACCACAAUUUAUUCUCACAAGAAAAACGCAGAUGGAGGGCCUUAUUCACCAAAUUCCCUCUUUCAAGAACAGAACUUGAACUUACAAAGUUUUUGUUGCUGCAUGCUUUCACACCACAAGAAGCUUGGUUUUAAAGGACUCUCCCUCAACAGAUCAACAAAUCAGUAUCACAAGGUUGAGCAGUUGAUGGAAUGGAAUGAUGUUGAGCGGGUGUUCCUUUGACAUUUCAAGAAAUGUAACCUUGAGUAUACAUCUUCAUAUGUAUAUCUCACACGUUUUCCGCUGCAAAACACUUUGAUUAGGAUAACUUUAUGUUAUGAAAUUGUGACACGUGUUAUUGGGUAACCCACCUUAAUCAGUUCUCAUUUAUGUGUAUGUUUUAUAAGUAUCCAAAUAAUCA